GAUAAACGCUGGCGGCGUGCCUAAUGCAUGCAAGUCGAACGGGAGCUCACAUUCCCACCGUCUUCGGAUGGUGGCGUGGGUGGACCGUGGCGGACGGGUGAGGAACGCGUGGCCAACCUG
Molecule: ribosomal RNA, 120 nt
Filed under: uncultured bacterium
Lineage: Bacteria
Description: partial 16S ribosomal RNA
Source: RNAcentral